This 279-nucleotide ribosomal RNA is filed under the name uncultured bacterium. Its description in RNAcentral is "partial 16S ribosomal RNA". It matches the Rfam family "Bacterial small subunit ribosomal RNA", at positions 505 to 784 of the family's 1533-position model. The record is from RNAcentral.
GUGCAGCAGCCGCGGUAAUACGUAGGGGGCAAGCGUUGUCCGGAUUUACUGGGUGUAAAGGGCGCGUAGGCGGGUUUGUUAGUCAGAGGUGAAAUCCUGCGGCUUAACCGUAGAACUGCCUUUGAUACUGCAGAUCUUGAGUAUGGAAGAGAGAGACGGAAUUCCAGGUGUAGUGGUGAAAUACGUAGAUAUCUGGAAGAACACCAGUGGCGAAGGCGGUCUCUUGGUCCGAAACUGACGCUGAGGCGCGAAAGCGUGGGGAGCAAACAGGAUUAGAUA